AGCCGGCCAUUUUGUCCUUCAGGCAGGAAACUUGGGGUUAUCGAAAGCGAUCAAACCGGUUUUUAACUUUUUUUUUUUUUGCCGUGCUAGCGGAAGGCAAAACCGGGCAGCAAUAGAAUGUGCAAGAAACGUGUGAUAAAAGUGGAGCAAAUGAGGUGCUGUGGCGGGGAAGAAGGGUUGGCACGGGAGUUAGAAUCACAGAAUCAUUUGGGUUGGAAAAGACCUUUAAGAUAACUAACUCCAACCACGAACCUGGCACUGCCAGGUCCACCACUAAACCAUGUCCCUAAGCAUCAUGUCUGCAGGUUUCUUAAAUACUUCCAGGGAUGGUGACUCAAGUUGGAAUGGUACAAGCCAGAAGAUAGUUUCAAUAGCGUGUGGGGUUAGCCUCAGAAAAGCUUGGGGAAAUCAAAGCUAUACCAGUCCUAGAAAAAUGAACGUGGGGCGUUUGUUCCACAGCGCUUGGCUUUGGCUUGGUGUACCAGUUGGGGAAGUUACUACUACACAACAGCACAUAAGAACAACGCCACAUAGGAAUGAUGAUUCACAAAGAGGGUCAGCCAUGUGAGAGAAAACUCCCCUUAAAAACAAUGCAGAUGCAAACCAGUGAAUGUGUAUGAAGAACUGAUAAGAGGAGUAUUCCAGAUAGCAACAAAUGAAAAAGAUGCCUUGCAAAUAUACCAUCCUUUUUGUUCAGAGUCUCUAAUCCGUACUUCAUUAAAUCUGAUCUACUUGUAUUUGAAUAGUCGUGGACGUUUCUUGCAUUGGUGUAUGUCAGUGGAACGUAGGAAACGGAACUGAAGAGAACUCUUUGGAUCAUCACCCACAGACCUCUGCUAUCACCUCUGAGCACAUCAUAUAAUGUUCAUCAAUUUAUAAAACUGUGUUUUAAAAAUAUGCUUAUUUAUUCUCCUGCAUGUAAAGGAUGACUGUUCUGGAAUGCUGCUCCAAUUCUGACUCUUCUGAAGGUCAGAGGUAUGAAUUGGGGGAAUCUGUCAUUUUACCUGAUGUGAAUCUAUUAGUACACGUAAAAUCACUCUUAGAAUAUGUGUUUCCACAGAUAACUAAGAUUUGCUUAAGAUUCUUAAUUAAUUUGGAAAAUUUCAUGGUUUUCUGAAGUUUUGAGAUUCUGUAUCUGAGUCUUUUUUCUAACAUGGAGGUAAUAGUGGCUUUUUUUUCCCCUCUGCUGACCUCUGAUUCACUGAUACACCUUCCCUCAUAGCAAUUUAAAGCACUGCCAACAAAAGAUGCUUUGCCAUGUGUUGAAUCUGUCAAGCUUUUAACUAGUUUCUCCUCAGGUGUCCAUUGAAGAUGAAGCAGGUUUUGAACAAAUGUGUCUCGGGGACUGUUUGUUAGCUAAUUUUUCAUCUGAGUUUCCAGCUGCACCAGCAACCUGAGUAAGGAAAAAAGAAGGUGAUUUUCAAGACAAACCCUCUUUGAAAUAGAAUAAGCAAUUCAGUGUUCACUAUUUGUCUUUUGAGAUAAAUUACUUUAACCAGUUACCUUUAUCUGUUGCUUUUUUAUCUCUACGUUUGUUUAAGCCACCGGCAGUACAAAAUUUGACUGGCUAUACAGUCACAGAUCUUU
Molecule: long non-coding RNA, 1587 nt
Organism: Chroicocephalus ridibundus (black-headed gull)
Lineage: Eukaryota; Metazoa; Chordata; Aves; Charadriiformes; Laridae
Exons: 4
Source: RefSeq, a predicted model, not a curated record